Molecule: long non-coding RNA, 468 nt
Filed under: Junco hyemalis (dark-eyed junco)
Lineage: Eukaryota; Metazoa; Chordata; Aves; Passeriformes; Passerellidae
Description: lncRNA (ENSJHYG00000009314.1)
Source: RNAcentral
UUGUCAUGUAAGAAAAAUCUAACCCUUACAAAAACUCAUUUCAAAAUGAGUAACUGCAACAUUUUUUCAGUCAUUGUGUGAGAAGGCUGUUGCAGGACUGCUGGGACUUCCCUUCUCCCCAGAAUGAGAUUCUGGUGUAAUUAAUGGGGCAUUUGGACUCUGAUAGAAUUUGCUUCCAUCCAGUUUCUCAUGGAAACCCUCCUGAUGCCUCUCAGAUCUUCAUGAAGAGCUCAGGGUUUGUUUAAGGUGUUCACAUGUCAGCAGCUCGUGGAUGCUACAGGAGACCAGGAAUGGCCGGAAUCUCUAUGCUGGCAGGAUUCAGAGAGGCACAAAGGAGGGAAAAACAAGUUUCAGCCAGAAGAGAGAGAGAGAGAGAGAAAAAAAAGGAUGCUGUUAGCAUUCCCUGUAUUUGAGGGGUAAAAACAUUUUGCUGUCAACUCUGUUUUAAAGGGUAAGUGCUAAAAGCAG